RNAcentral lists this ribosomal RNA (629 nucleotides) under uncultured rumen protozoa. Its description in RNAcentral is "bacterial SSU rRNA". It matches the Rfam family "Eukaryotic small subunit ribosomal RNA", at positions 1146 to 1829 of the family's 1831-position model. The record is from RNAcentral.
UGGGGUGUGUGGGAGAGGCGCCCCCCCCCGGGGAGGGGGCCCGUGGGCUAUAUUUACUCAACCCGGGAAACCUACCGGUCCCAGACAUAGUAAGGAUUGACAGAUUGAUAGCUCUUUCUGAUUCUAUGGGUGUGUGCAUGGCCGUUCUUAGUUGGUGGAGUGAUUUGUCUGGUUAAUUCCGAUAACGAACGAGACUUUAACCUGCUAAUUAGUCGUCCUCAUUUUAUGGGGUAUGACUUCUUAGAGGGACUAUGCAUAUCAAGUGCAUGGAAGUUUGAGGCAAUAACAGGCCAGUGAUGCCCUUAUAUGUCCUGGGCUGCACGCGUGCUACACUGAUGCAUACAACAAGUGCCUAACCAGACAUGGUAUGGCAAUCUCGAAUAUGCAUCGUGAUGGGGUUGGUCUUUGCAAUUAUAGAUCUUGAACGAGGAAUUCCUAGUAAGUGCAAGUCAUCAUCUUGCAUUGAUUAUGAUCCUUGCCCUUUGUACACACCGCCCGUCGCUCCUACCGAUACCGGGUGAUCCGGUGAACCUUUUGGACCUGCAAGGGGAAGAUAAGUAAACCAUAUCACCUAGAGGAAGGAGAAGUCGUAACAAGGUUUCCGUAGGUGAACCUGCAGAAGGAUCAUA